AGUUCUCCAAAAAUACACAACGUUGCAAAUUUACAGAUACAAGUGUAUCUCAUUUGAGCUUUGAGCAUUAAGGAAAAAAAACAAUCAGUGGGCGCUGCUCGGCAGAAUCACUAUACUUAGCUAUGGUUAAGCUAGUUAGGUUAUAUCGUAUUAUGAAACAAUUACAGAUGCCAAAAUUGCUCCAAUUUAUUCACUGAAACGACAGUGGACCCAUGAUCUGAAAAACAGCCACCUCUCCCAAAUCAAACCUCAAUACAAUGCACACAAACCGGGUAUCCUUUGCCCCCACCAUGAAGUUACAAAACCCAAAAGGAGUUGUGCUUCUUUAAUUCCAUGUGCACAAAAAUCAGGAACUACUCUUGAGACUCACCUCUAGAUUUUGCCCUGUUCUCGAGAUCUCUGAUACGGUAAAUGAGCACAGAGCUAGAUUGCUUGCGCUCCUUGUCGGCAAUAGGAGAAUCAACUCCAGAUUGCUCGCCCUCCUUGUCUGCGAUAGAAGAAUUAACUCUAGGACUUGGCUUAGGUCCACCAAAGAGGCUUAAGGCUUGCAUUCGUGCAGGUGUUGGCUGAGAUUUCAAGGGAGGAAGAUCCAACCAUAGCCUUAUGGCUGGUCUCCGGAUAACUGAGAAAAGCAAGAUAACUUUUAUCAGUUAAGGAAUAGGCAGAGGCUAUGAAACCACAAUAGAUCCCAAGGUGGCAAGUAACAUACCAACACCGGAUACAAGUGAGAACAAAUUCGAUGUGACCCAGUAAAAGAAAAUUGCCUGUAAAAGAAAAAAGAUUAAUGGAAGCACAGAUGUACAAAUUAUGAUGUUAUAGUUCCAAGGUAAUCAAAGCUGAGCAUAUCUGGGAUGAGAGUGAAUGCUAAAUUUGGAUUAUCCUCAGGAUAAGUAUAGACUUUUUAGGAAGUAGGAACAACUAGCAAAACUUGCACCACAAAUAGCCCCCUUACCACCAGUCUUUUCGUUCAUUGCAGCAUAUACUUUGACAGUAUUUUGGGGUAAAACAACUAGCCGUAGCUUCUAGAGCAGUAGCAAAAUCUAAAUGGCUGCUCCAAAAUGUACAAUACAAAUUAGACUUCCUCUCUAACCCAUUUCGAGAUGAUCUUAGAUGGCCCCAAUACACCUCCCCUGAAAUUAUUUUGAAUGUAUGGCAAAAGUAGGCAGCCAUAGCUUUCAGUCAUGGUAGUAGAGAAGCACAGACAGUCCUAAUUCUGGUUGUGGUUGUAAAGAAGUUCAGACAGUCAUAAUUCUCGUUAUGGUUGUAGAGAAGUACUAGGUAGACUUUCCCGGUCCAGGCCUGGUAUGGCCAGUUUCAGAACCAGACUGUCUGUGUCCAAAAAUGGGCUAUGGCGGUACAUAUCCAAAUCACCCUGCAGACAGUUCAUACAUCUAUUUUGAGAGGGCCACAUCUAGUGUUUGGGAGGGAGUACCCAGAAUGAGAGCUUGCCCUUAUUGAAAUAUUUUUGAACCCUUAUAGAAAAUUUCUUAUAAAGUGAUUUUAGAGUUUUGUACACUAGUAAAGCUCAUUGUAAAUGAAGCAAACAGAACAGCAAAUUGGUACUUCAAAUCCUGAGUAGUUCAUAUUUACAUACCUUUGGAUAGCCUAUUGUAAAUGGAACAAGGAUAACACCAAAAAAUCUGAAGAACUCUUUCAUUGAUUUUGCCACAGGAUUUCCUUCCUUACCAUCUUGCAUAUUGAUCUGAAAUAAAAACAAUAAUGUCUUGAAAACAAAAUAAAGAUAAGACGCCUGAAUUACAGCGGCCAUAAUGCAAACCUCUACUGUAGCAAAAAAUGAUAUAGAUGUUAACACUGGCAGGAUGAAAAGAUCAUCACGAGUUGUCAAAUCAGUAAACCAAUAUGCACCACCUCCUUUAAGAGAAGGGACUUUCUCAACCAUGUUAGAUAUCUACAAUUGGAAUAGAAAACACAAGAUGUUAAGUAAAAAAAAAUAAGGCAAAUGCUAUUGCUACAUGAUACAAUAUAAUUCGGUGACAAUGAAAUUGCUGAUUAGAACUUUGGACGUAACAAAGUGGUGUAAACUUACAGCAAAGAAAACACUCAUGAAUAUAGACCCCUGUAUGAAUAGACCCUUCAAUGGUGUAAAUGGAGUCACACCAUGUCUGAAGCAAGAAAGUAAUGAAACAAUUGUUUUAGUAAUAUCUCCCAUACAGUUCAUAUGACAGGAGGAGGAAUAGACUAAUUACAAAAGCUAAUCGAAGGGGCGGUCAAGUUAGUUAAGAUGUUCAAUGAUUUAGGACAGCGGAGGUUGCUUUCAUAUUGCACGCACAGACGAUGGCAUGAGGAAAAUAACAUCCAAAAGUCUUAUGUGAAGCUAGCCAAUUAAAGGAAUAAAGUUAAGUUCGAGGUGUUGAAUAGGCCUGGUAAAAAUGAUGAAUUUGUAACAUUGAUACACAAAAUAUUUCGAAUCAUGCAUAAAUGAAACGAGAAAGUAUCUUGCAGUUUUGAAAUUAAAUAAAAACUCAGAUAUAUAUAAAGCUGCAUACCUAGUGAAUAGCUCACGCAAUUUCUGUCUCCUCACUUUCUUUGAUCUUGGAUCAGUUGACUGAAAGGCAUAAAUAGUAAAAUAGUAUAUCAUUACUAGCAUACCCAGUAAAUCCUACAAAGAUACCAUAUAAACUGCAAGGUGAACUGAAAAAAAAAUGUACUCACAUUUCGCAUCUCUUCAUUGAUGGCUUCAACUUCUGGUCUCAUGUCCUGCAUCAUAUUGUUGAAGUCCGCUUAGAUGUGUAUGAUAUGAUAUUUUUUUCUAAAAAAACAAAAUGACAUCGCUAAAGGAAUACAUAGCAGAAGGAAUAUCCAAUGCCUCUUCCUCUUUAGCACUGGAGGAGCUCUUGAAUUUCAGAAUUUCGAGUGCAACAGAAUGACUUCCUACGAUUUACUUCAUGCACCUUCAAAAACUCACUGCACGGUAUUAUGUUUCUUAUUAAUGCCUUUAACUACACGUUUACAGCCACAACUGGACGCUGUAUAUGCUACUGUCAAGGUUCAAAGCCAUCGCAGUCAUGAUUCAAGAACAAACACCAUAAUCAGAUUGUUUUUCUCCCCCAAAUAAUAUCCAUUCUGGCUAUUUUAGGCUAGAGAUUGUUGGAUGCGAGAACAUUGAGCCACAGCCCGAAGCAACACGCCUUUAAAUUUGCCUGUUCCAGUUCAGGGUUGGGUUUGAGAUUUCCUAGGUAGUUAAAGCAUACAAAAGCUUCACUUUAAAUCCACUUUUGUGAUAGCUACAUUCAAAUCACACCAAAACAACAUGCAUCCAUCCAGCAAUAUGCUGUAAGUUUCUACUUUCUAACAUCAGCAUCACUAGAAAAUUGCACAGAAAUGGUGUGAUCCUUUGCUUCACCUAACUCAAGUUCGAUUUUGAGAAGUUUUAGACGUUUAGGUUCGAAUUUGAUAAACCGAACAGGUUUUGUGCGCUCUCAUAUGACACCUCUGCUAUUAACAAACAUGAGUGAAAAUAGGGCAUUUACUAGGAACAUAAGGUUCUAAAGUGCAUGCAUUACUUUUAACUUCAUAAUGGACUUUUCCCGGUUGAUGAGCAUUGGGACUGUCAGUAACCGGAUGAGCACUGCCGUCAGCGCAAUAGUAGCCCACCUACACAUCACCGAGCAGGAAGAUGGAAUGGAACCACAUGACAGGACGUUUACAGGAAGAAACCAAAGCUAAAACCUUGCGCAGCACCAAUGAAGGCAUACCAGUUGAGGCCAGUGAAGGACCGCACGGCGUCCAGGAGGUAUUGCAGGGCGGCGACCGGGGGAAAUGAUUCGGCUGCUGCGGCAGCCACCUCCCCCGCGUACGGCGCUGGAGGCACGGGUACGGAGGCUGCGGCGGAAACCACUUGGUCCGAGACAGGGACCGAGGAGGCGGCGUCGGUGAGCAUGUCUGCCGCGACAUCGAUGUCUGGUGCUGAUGCGGAAGAGGUCGUGGAGAAGUUACGGUGGGCCGCGAGAUGGAGCGCGAAGGGGAGGGGGAGGCUGGUAAGGGCUCGGGAUCUCGACGGCCGGGCAAGGGAGGAGGGGAUCGGCCUCGCGGGCUGUGAUUGAGGUGAAGGCGGGGCGGCCGAGGAGGAGGGGCUUUCGGAGCGGCCGUGGUGGGGCGGGAUGAGGUGCGAGAUGGAGGGGUGGAGGCGGCGGGAGAAGUGGUCGGAGAGGCUGGUGGCAAGUCUCCUCCGCGCGGCGAAAGCCAUGGCGGCGGCGGCGGGCAGAUCGCGAGAUGGUGGGAGGGCCGGAGCCCGCCGGAGGGGAGGUCGACGACAGGUCAGGUCGAGGGGAGAAGAGAGGGUUUAAACGGGUGAGAAUCUCUCUCUCUAGCAUUACUCGUAUAAUACAAGCACACCUGUAAGACUGUAAUGUAAUUCAGAAUUUCAGUGCUCCAAAAAUACACAACAUUGCAAAUUUACAGAUACAAGUGUAUCUCAUUUGAGCUUUGAGCAAUAAGAAAAAAAAUCAUUCAGUGGGUGCUGCUCGGCAGAAUCACUAUACUUAAUCCAAGGAACAGCAUGCUAUUGUUAAGCUAGUUAGGUUAUAUCGUAUUAUGAAACAAUUACAGAUGCCAAAAUUGCUCCAAUUUAUUCACUGAAACGACAGUGGACCC
Molecule: long non-coding RNA, 4614 nt
Filed under: Panicum hallii
Lineage: Eukaryota; Viridiplantae; Streptophyta; Magnoliopsida; Poales; Poaceae
Description: long non-coding RNA (PHAL_LNC000957)
Source: RNAcentral